AUUGAACGCUGGCGGCAGGCCUAACACAUGCAAGUCGAACGUGUGGCGGACGGGUGAGUAAUGUCUGGGAAACUGCCUGCUGGAGGGGGAUAACUACUGGAAACGGUAGCUAAUACCGCAUACCAUCGGAUGUGCCCGGAUGGGAUUAGCUAGUAGGUGGGGUAAAGGCUCACCGUGGCGACGAUCCCUAGCUGGUCUGAGAGGAUGACCAGCCACACGGGAACGUGGAAACGGUCCAGACUCCUGCGGUAGGCAGCAGUGUGGAAUAUUGCGCAAUGGGCGCAAGCCUGAUGCAGUCAUGCCGCGUGUGUGGAGAAGGCCUUCGGGUUGUAAAGUACUUUCAGCGGGGAGGCGUUACCCGCAGAAGAAGCACCGGCUAACUCCGUGCCAGCAGCCGCGGUAAUUC
Molecule: ribosomal RNA, 406 nt
Filed under: uncultured bacterium
Lineage: Bacteria
Description: partial 16S ribosomal RNA
Rfam family: Bacterial small subunit ribosomal RNA
Source: RNAcentral